RNAcentral lists this long non-coding RNA (3130 nucleotides) under Nicotiana tabacum (common tobacco). RNAcentral describes it as "long non-coding RNA (NTAB_LNC001417)". Lineage: Eukaryota; Viridiplantae; Streptophyta; Magnoliopsida; Solanales; Solanaceae. The record is from RNAcentral.
AAGAUAAAAGACGUCUACUAAAGUGAUGCAUGAAGAAUAACAAAGAGCAUAUAACACUCUCUCAGUAGUGUAGUAUUUAAACCUCUCCCUGCAUUCAGGAAUUAACAAUAUUGCAUCUUACCCAAUCAAGAGUAUUAUUGCUUGAAUUUCUUAUAAGAUAGUACCAAGGAGGUACAGAAACAUAUAAAUAAAGAGAAAAUGGGACAAUUGUUACAAUCAACUCAGCAUAUCCAAGAUCUCUGAACACUGAAAUAAAUCCUCAUCCACUCUUUCCUGCACCAAAAAUAUAAUUUUUUUUAAAAGAACAACUAGGAAAAUUAUUGCAAAACUAACUUUGCCAUUUAGAGCAAUGACAGUAAAGCCACCCAGAGACAAAAGAAACAUAAAACGAAAAGGAUAAGAUUCUUUUCAAUUUCAAACAGUUAAAAUAUGUACAUAAAAGAAAUGCUCAUUUUUAUGUAAUUUUUUUUUCUGAUUAGAAAACUUGGGCUAGCAAUGAAUAUUGCACAAACCUGCAGUACGACUAUGCUGUGAGCAAGUCAAGAAGCAGAUAUCUAAUUGCACAAAGAAUAAGCAAAUUUUGGGAGUUUAUAUGCCUCUAAUGGAUACAGAAGAUAAAUAACAUCUGCCUAACCAUUCUAACAUCAGCUUAUAGAUCAAAAGUUCAUUUCUCAAGAUGAUCACUCUAUAGAAACAUCUAAUACCCAAGCUAAGUCGCAAUUUUUCCACAACCAAAGGAAAUAAAACAUGGAUAGUAGCAAACAUCCCAGUUGCUCACAAGUUCCAGAUCUCUAAUUGGAACCACAGAGACAUGAAAAGAUCAAAUCCACAGAGCCAAUUGAUACAAAACCUCCCCACAUGAUCAUUGACAACUACAACUAAUAUGAAUCAUAUACAUUUUGAAACGGGCAAGAAAACCUAUUAUUCACAAAUCUAACCUAAUAGUCAAUAGCAAUAACUACCAAUAUUCCUCUAUCUGAAUUAGUUGGUGUGAGGUAUAAGAACUCUAAAAAAAAAAUAAUUUAAGGCUGCCAACACAUAGGUCUAACUUGCAAUUUCUUUUCUGAAUGAUCAAAUGGCCGAGGGGCAGUUGAUUGAUUGGUUGAUUUCCUUUAUUGUAAUUACCUUGGGAACAACUCCAGAAUGAAUUUUAUUGAGUACAUUGUAAAAGAUCAUUCCACUCCUUAAACCAAGCCUGAAUUCUUCCUCAGAAGGUUCAGCUGGCAAAUUUUUAGCUCCUAUGUAUCUGAUGCUUACACCAUCAAUGGUCAACCAGGUGAUCUCUACAAGUGUUCAAGCAAAGGUUAGUUCUAAUAUCAAAAUAUUUGAAGCUUACACAUAGUAUAAAGACUAAUUUUCACCUAACAAUGUUAUGCUAGCAGUAAUCUAUGAUUGCAUAUGUUACCUAUUAUGACAUGUUUUCACAGAAAUCAUGUUAAUGCAGAUACCACCAUAGUGCAUGUGGACGCUGAUGAAACGAACCUCCUUCGAGUUAUCAAUGUUGCACUCAAUCAACAACUUUUCUUUACUGUGGCCAACCAUAAGUUUAUUGUUGUUGGAGCAGAUGCCUCUUAUUUUUUAAAGGAUAUCAAAAUUUGAUGUUGCUGCUCUGGUUUUUUGUUGCUUUCAUUUGUCAACAAAAAUUAGUAAACAGUCCUCCUAAUUCACUGUUCUGCUCAUUUCCAUCAAUAAAUUUUCAGUUUUUGUGCCAGGUAUUCAGAAUCUUAACCUCAUUGGCAGAAGUUUUUCUUGAUUUGGGUUUCUUUUUCAGUAUUUUGUAAUAUGCUAAAACAUCAAUAUCUAUUGAUGUUAACGUGUCGUAUGAGUAAAACUACCAUAAAUCAGUAGGCAGCUUUAAAAAAAGAGCUGUCGAAUUUUUUAUGUACGUCGUAAUUCCUUUCGGGCAAUCUCACAAACACUUCUACUACGAACCCAAUGCAGUUUAUGUAACAAGAAACUCAAAUCUGUUCUUACUGCACUUUGACAGAAGCAGAACAGAUGAAAGUUAAAACUUAUCUCAGGAAGAGCAACUUGAAGGAGCAAUUUGAAAGACGCACAACAGCGAGCACAAUAAUAUAUCAUCAAUUAGCUAAAUAUUUUAGACAAAAGUAGUCUAAAUAUUUUAUCCAAGUUCAGAACAUGAGAAGGAAACAUUCUGCAGAUUAAAAAUAGUCAGUCAAAUAUUUCUAGCUUCCUGGAGAAAUAGCUACAAAGUUUCAUCAAAUCAAACACAAUAGAGGAUGGGGGAGACAUGUAAACACUUCCAAUUAAUUGCCAACUAAUCACUUAUGAUCAACGAAAUUAUACUUCACUAAUAGAACAUCAAAUGUUCAUAUGUUAUUUGUCUUCAUGCCUUCAGACCCUUAUUAACCAAUGUUCACGUACCAAUUAAUAACUUUUGACAGGAAGCUACUUCGAUCUCUAGCUAGUCUUUAAACCUCUUUUAUCCAAGUAAACUUAUCUUAGUGUAGAUCUCUUAAUCUUUCCAACCAUGAAUAGGACCCACAAGCUGAAGUUGGUGACAUAUUGUAGGCUAAUGUAAAAGAACAAUAAAUUGAUCAACUUUUUGCUAGUGCACAAAUCCUUUGGUAAAAUUGCAUGUUCACUUAAACUUAUAAGUAUUUCAUAAAUUGAUUUGGUCCACAACUAACUGAACAAAUGUAGAUAUGAUCUUUUAUCAUAUAAUUUGAAGUUGUGAGUUAAGAUUUCUUGAAACAACAUAUUAAAAAGAAGUUUAGGUCAAUUGUAGUUUCUUUCAGGCAAUUUCACAAACACUUCUAAUGCAGACGCAAAGGCAGUUUUUAUAAUAACAGCCUCAAAUCUGUUUUUACUGCACUUCAACAUAGGUCGAACAGAUGAAAAUUAAGAGUAAGUAUAGAACAGUGAGCACAACAACAGAUACCAAUUAGCUUAAAAUUUGACAUAGAAGUAGUCUAAAUUUUCUAUCCAAGUUCAAAUCAAAACAUGAGAAACAAACAUUGUUCAAAUUAAAAACCCACUGAAUCUUAAAUCUAAAUAAUGGCAUUAAUCAUACCUUUACUAUAUAUCAGACGACAAACUGAAAGCAAAGAACUUGAGAAAUCGUCAAAGAGGAAAAGAGAAACUUGAGAUCAAACAAAAAAGAGGAAAG